Molecule: long non-coding RNA, 2864 nt
Organism: Lycium barbarum (goji berry)
Lineage: Eukaryota; Viridiplantae; Streptophyta; Magnoliopsida; Solanales; Solanaceae
Exons: 2
Source: RefSeq, a predicted model, not a curated record
UGAGUCCAUCAUUAUUGAUUUAAUUGCUUGAUUUUCUAAGCAUUUGUUUAUUAACAUUGUUUGUUUUAUUAAUAUGGAUUCACUUUUUUUUUCUAAUAUUGCUUGGUUAUGUUAAUAUAGGGUCCACUUUUUUGUUCCCGUGAGUUUGGAUGUGGUGAGUUCCACUUUUUUUUAUUGCUCGGUGUUAUUUAGUAUGGGGCCCAUCCUUUUUUUAAGGGACAACGGACGAUGAAGCAUAGGUCUAAACCCAUGCUUUAUAUAGUUUUUUUUAUUUUUUAUAUCCCCUGGUGUUGUUUAGUAUGGAGCCCGCCCUUUUGGACAUUAUUAGUUUGCACUAUUUUUAUGCAUAUAUAUAUAUAUAUAUAUAUAUAUACAUACUAUGUUCAAAAAAUGGUUGAUAUAACAUUGUAAUUUGUGCUCCGUAGCUAAAACUUUAUUAUAUUAGUGUUUGCUAAGAAUACAAAGUCUGCACUUUUUUUUUAUACUGUUUAUUUUUUUAAUAUGGGAUUCACUUUUUUUUUUAUAUAUAUAUUGCUUGAUUUUGUCAAUAUGGGAAACUAUGUUCAAAACACGAUUAAUAUAACAUUGUAGUUUGUGCUCCGUAUUUAAAACUUUACUAUAUCAGUGUUUGCUAUGAAUACGCAUGAUGUUUAAUAUGAGGCUCACAUUUAUAACAUUGUAAUUUUGUGCUGGAGCCCGCCCUUUUGGACAUUAUUAGUUUGCACUAUUUUUAUGCAUAUAUAUAUAUAUAUACUAUGUUCAAAACAUGGUUGAUAUAACAUUGUAAUUUGUGCUCCGUAGCUAAAAAUUUAUUAUAUUAGUGUUUGCUAAGAAUACAAAGUCUGCACUUUUUUUUAUACACUGUUUAUUUUUUUAAUAUGGGAUUCACUUUUUUUUUAUUAUUUAUAUAUAUAUUGCUUGAUUUUGUCAAUAUGGGAAACUAUGUUCAAAACACGAUUAAUAUAACAUUGUAGUUUGUGCUCCGUAUUUAAAAUUUUACUAUAUCAGUGUUUGCUAUGAAUACGCAUGGUGUUUAAUAUGGGACCCAUAUUUUUUUUAAUAUUGUUUGUUUUUUUAAUAUGAGAUUCACUUUUUUUUAAUAUUGUUUAAUUUUGUUAAUAUGGGGUCCACUUUUUUUUCCCGUGAGUUUGGAUGUGGUGGGUUCCAGUUUUUUUUUUAAUACUGCUUGGUGUUUAAUAUGGGGCUCACAAUUUUUUUUAAUAUUAGUUGUUGUUUAAUAUAUAUGGGGCCCAUAAUUUUUUUUACAAUUUUUUUUUAAUUAUGGGCUGUUUAAUAUGAGGCCAAAAUAUUUUUUUUUAUGAGGGGCCCACAAUGGACCACGAAAAGGGAGCCCAACCCAUGCUUUAGUAGAAAAAUAAUAAGUAAAGUAAAGUAAUCUCUAGAUUUUCGAGGACGGGUCUUUGAGUUCUCUUCGUCUUUCACAUCUGGGUGUUGCGAAUUUAGGGCAGCUUUUAUCUCAAUUUUUUUCCUAAUUUUCUUUCGGUUCUCUUCAAAUUUACCAAUUUUAUGGCUUAAAUUCAUUGUUGUUGUCAAUAUUUUUCUGCUUAAUCAAAAUUGUUUGUUUAUUUCUCUUUUACGUCCUUAAUCAGUCUACUAUUAUUUUGCGUCCUUGCAUGAUAUUAUUUUUCUUCAAACUACUAUUUCAAUUCCCUUCAUCUUCUCAGCUAGGUGUUCUAAUUACAGGUAUGCUUUUCUUUCAAUUUUGCCCAAAGUUCAUCACAUUACAAUCUACAAAAGAAUAAAGAAUAAAUACGACAAAUUUUGCUUUCAGGUAUUGCUCAUAGUUGAAAUUUGCCUCACAGAACUUGGGGAUAAACAAUAAUUCAGAAACUUAAUUAUAAGCUUUUGAUUUCAAUUUUCUUUUUACUUGAUUCUGGCGAAGGCGUCAUUACAAUGAAACUCGGCAUUUUUAUUUUCCUAUACUAUUGCUCAAAAUGCACUUCUUUUAGAAGUAUACGUUUUGUCAAUAUGAUUAUAUCACUCAUCUCUAUUUCAUCGGAGAAGUUCACUGAUUAAAUGGUUUCCAGUUAUGACCAGUUAACAACAACCCAGUGAAAUCCCACAACGUGGGGUCUGGAGAGUGUAUAGUGUACGCAGACCUUACUCCCACCAAGGUAGGACGGCUAUUUCCGAAAGACCCUCGGCUCAAUAGAAAGCAUAAAAAGAGGUCAGAUAAGGUCAGUUAACAAGAAAACAAAAAAAUCACCCUAGAGCGUAGUUCUCAAAUUAUAAGAUAUGAAUAUGUGCCUACUAAUUAAUUUUUAGAAGAGCAACUAAACUGAACUAGAUGUCCUAAGAGUGAAGCAAGGGACAACCAAUGGCAUUUCAAUAAGAGUGAAGCAAGGGACAACCAAUGGCAUUUCAAUAAUAUAUUGCUAAUUUGAGGGCAGAUUGUCAUACGUAUAAUCUCAGCUUUCUCCUUCGUAUCCGUUACUUUCUGGAAUCAACUCGCUCUUCCACAGCUCUCCUAAUUUUUCAGAUUUUUCAAUAUCGAUGCGGGUUUGCUCGAGCGGGUAGCUUUGCCGUGUUCAUGAGCAACAAACCAGGUUAGGUUAUCUAGAGUGCUGAUGUUUCUGGUGAAAAGUAUGAGAAAAUGAUAUGUCAUAUCAGGUCUUCCAUUUGAACUAUGUCCCUUCUCUUUAUUACAAUACGGGAUUUUUCUUCUCAUUAGUAGCACUAAUGACUCUGCACUCAACGCUAUAAAUUGGAUAAAGCUUGAUAGAUUAGUCUAAUUUGUAUGAUGAUGAAACUAGAGAGCUUAUCAUAACAAGUUACACUUCAGGUCUCAUGUGCAUGCAUAGCUUUACUCGCCUAUUCUGAAAUAAAAUAACAAUUUUUUAUGA